Long non-coding RNA from Arachis ipaensis, 1102 nucleotides. RefSeq lists it as uncharacterized. The record is from RefSeq and is a predicted model, not a curated record. NCBI's taxonomy places the organism in Eukaryota, Viridiplantae, Streptophyta, Magnoliopsida, Fabales, Fabaceae.
GAACUAAGAACCUCCGUUCAGGUUUCAGCCCCUCCGCUACUUCCUCGACCCUCUUCCUCGCCAGGAACCUUCUUCCUCUUUCUUUGUGGAUACCUCCAUCUCUUCCUGCUCACUGUUGAUGAGGGCAUCACCGGCUACCAUGAUGACUCCCUUAGAACUGUUCACAGAAACAAAAUUCAGUAUAGAUUGCCUCUCAAGGUUGUCUCUUACAAGGAUCUCUAUGGUUGUAUAAGCCGCUUCAGUUCCUCCGAGAUCCUCCUCGGCGCCAUGAUUCUCCCUGCUUUUCUACUAUCUUGACGCAAUUAUCAAAAGGAUUCUCAAUUUGUUCUGCUGCACCGCACUCCACUUCGCUUUUUGGAUUGGAAUUUAGGGUUUGGCUUGUGCACCCAUCUUCUACGGUGCUCCUUUUUAACUCAAUUGAAGUUGUAAACCUUUUCCUUUUAAUUUUCUCUUUUCUCAACAUUCAAAGUUUCUUCGUUUGCUUUUCUCUGCUAAUGGCUUGUCGGCAAUGAUUAUUGUUUCCAAUGGAGGAAAGUGGAUUAUUUUUGGAAUUGAAGUUAGUUUCAGCCAUGGCUCUUGAUAAGCUCCUAGUUAAAGGAAACUACAUUGGAAGCGUCAACUUCCUCUUUUCUGGAGAAGGAAAGGGAACUGCAGUCCAAAAUUGAGGAACUGGAGGACAAGGUUGAGGAAUUCAGUCAGAGCAUUGCACUGCAAAAGGACAUUAAACAAUCUUAAAUAUUGAACAUUCAUUGGGAUUCUAGCUUCCUCACUGUUCUCCUACAAGACCAUGUUGGUGGACUUCAAUUUUUCUAUGAAAACAAGUGGAGUGAUACAAAUUGUUUUAUCAGUUCACAAAUUGUUUUAUCAAGUUAUGAAUAGAAGAGUUUAAGAGGAUCAAUCUUCACCAAAUAUUAUUCCUGUUCACUUAUUUAGUUGCAUAAUAUUUACGAAACAUUGUGACAAUUCAUCAAAUGACAUGAUUCCAGUAUGAAAUUGAUACUAGUGACCAUUAACAACAAUCUGGGCAUGCGUCUGUUUUAUGCAAUUGGUGGGUUUGCAAAGGUUCAAGAGGUCUGUGUAAUACAAAGAUUCUUUUAUGUGA